RNAcentral lists this ribosomal RNA (781 nucleotides) under Aeromonas sobria. RNAcentral's name for it is "partial 16S ribosomal RNA". The stretch from base 2 to 351 matches the Rfam family "Bacterial small subunit ribosomal RNA", at positions 45 to 393 of the family's 1533-position model. The record is from RNAcentral. Lineage: Bacteria; Pseudomonadati; Pseudomonadota; Gammaproteobacteria; Aeromonadales; Aeromonadaceae.
UGGGCUAACUGCAGUCGAGCGGAGCGGGAAAGUAGCUUGCUACUUUUGCCGGCGAGCGGCGGACGGGUGAGUAAUGCCUGGGGAUCUGCCCAGUCGAGGGGGAUAACAGUUGGAAACGACUGCUAAUACCGCAUACGCCCUACGGGGGAAAGGAGGGGACCUUCCGGCCUUUCGCGAUUGGAUGAACCCAGGUGGGACUAGCUACUUGGUGGGGUAAUGGCUCACCAUCGCCACCAUCCCUACUUGGCCUGACAGGAUGAUCAGCCACCCUGUCACUGACCCUCGGACCAGAUUCCUACCGGAGGCAUCUUUGGUGAAUAUUGAACCCCGGGGGAAACCCUAACCCCAACCUGCCUCCUGUGCGUAGAAUCCCUAUGCGCAUGAUAUCACUUUCCUCACGCAGCAAACGUUCCUCGGCAACAACCCCGCCAUUGUCCCGUGGCCUAGCAUUGCACCAAUCCUUUAUUCCUAUGACCAAGGACUCCUCACAUACGAAGGAGAUCAGUUUAUCCCAUGAUUACUAAGCGCCACCCCCAAUGCUGCUACUUGAGCCACCUCAUGUGUCAAUCAACAUGAUCUACUCGUUUAAUACCUUCUGGCCCAUCACGACAUUUCCAUUUAGCGCAAUCGCGCCGCACACAAUAUCCAGCUCUAACCCUUUUUUUUCCAGUCAUACCCCAAACUUUCCAGGCCUUAGUAGAAACCAAACUCAUCGAUGUACCUCUGCUUUCACUUUCAUCCUACAAAUCCACUAAAUUUCCGCCUCCUUUUUACACCUUCA